GAUGAACGCUGGCGGCGUGCCUAAUACAUGCAAGUCGAGCGAACAGACGAGGAGCUUGAUCCUUUGACGUUAGCGGCGGACGGGUGAGUAACACGUAGGUAACCUACCUAUAAGACUGGGAUAACUUCGGGAAACCGGAGCUAAUACCGGAUAAUAUUUCGAACCGCAUGGUUCGAUAGUGAAAGAUGGCUUUGCUAUCACUUAUAGAUGGACCUGCGCCGUAUUAGCUAGUUGGUAAGGUAACGGCUUACCAAGGCAACGAUACGUAGCCGACCUGAGAGGGUGAUCGGCCACACUGGAACUGAGACACGGUCCAGACUCCUACGGGAGGCAGCAGUAGGGAAUCUUCCGCAAUGGGCGAAAGCCUGACGGAGCAACGCCGCGUGAGUGAUGAAGGUCUUCGGAUCGUAAAACUCUGUUAUUAGGGAAGAACAAACGUGUAAGUAACUGUGCACGUCUUGACGGUACCUAAUCAGAAAGCCACGGCUAACUACGUG
RNAcentral lists this ribosomal RNA (497 nucleotides) under uncultured bacterium. RNAcentral describes it as "partial 16S ribosomal RNA". It matches the Rfam family "Bacterial small subunit ribosomal RNA", at positions 28 to 507 of the family's 1533-position model. The record is from RNAcentral.